GUGGCUGUAGCUCAGUGGCAGAGCACUUGCCUAGCAUGUGUGAGGCACUGGGGUCGAUCCUCAGCACCACA
Molecule: transfer RNA, 71 nt
Filed under: Marmota monax (woodchuck)
Lineage: Eukaryota; Metazoa; Chordata; Mammalia; Rodentia; Sciuridae
Rfam family: tRNA
About the family: Transfer RNA (tRNA) molecules are approximately 80 nucleotides in length. Their secondary structure includes four short double-helical elements and three loops (D, anti-codon, and T loops).
Source: Rfam by way of RNAcentral